AUACGUAGGGGGCGAGCGUUGUCCGGAAUGACUGGGCGUAAAGGGCGCGUAGACGGCUGUCUAAGUCUGGAGUGAAAGUCCUGCUUUCAAGGUGGGAAUUGCUUUGGAGACUGGGUGGCUUGAGUGCGGAAGAGGUAAGUGGAAUUCCCAGUGUAGCGGUGAAAUGCGUAGAGAUUGGGAGGAACACCAGUGGCGAAGGCGACUUACUGGGCCGUAACUGGCGUUGAUGCGCGAAAGCGUGGGGAGCGAACAGGAUUAGAUACCCUGGUAGUCCACGCGGUAAACGAUGAGUGCUAGGUGUAGCGGGUAUCGACCCCUGCUGUGCCGCAGUAAACACAGUAAGCAUUCCGCCUGGGGAGUACGGUCGCAAGAUUAAAACUCAAAUGAAUUGACGGGG
RNAcentral lists this ribosomal RNA (397 nucleotides) under uncultured bacterium. Its description in RNAcentral is "partial 16S ribosomal RNA". It matches the Rfam family "Bacterial small subunit ribosomal RNA", at positions 523 to 918 of the family's 1533-position model. The record is from RNAcentral.